Molecule: ribosomal RNA, 479 nt
Filed under: Blastocystis sp.
Lineage: Eukaryota; Bigyra; Opalinata; Blastocystidae
Description: SSU rRNA
Rfam family: Eukaryotic small subunit ribosomal RNA
Source: RNAcentral
GGAGGUAGUGACAAUAAAUCACAAUGCGGGACUGUUAGUCUUGCAAUUGGAUUGAGAACAACGUACAACUCUUAUCGAUAAGCCAUUGGAGGGCAAGUCUGGUGCCAGCAGCCGCGGUAAUUCCAGCUCCAAUAGCGUAUAUUAACGUUGUUGCAGUUAAAAAGCUUGUAGUUGAAGUGAGGGAGUGUGUAGUAGGACCGACUUGAUCGAAACUGCUGCAACCUCCCCCUUCCAAUCGGUGUAGUGGGGUAUUCACUUAUUUCACUACUCCUUUGGUCGUUUACUGUGAGAAAAUUAGAGUGUUCAAAGCGGGCGUUUGUUUGAAUAGAUUAGCAUGGAAUAAUGAUUGAAGGCUUUCGUGUUCGAUUUGAUUGGUUUGUUCAUGGAAGCAAGGUUAAAAGGAACAGUUGGGGGUAUUCAUAUUCACUAGUUAGAGGUGAAAUUCUCGGAUUUAUGGAAGAUGAACAAGUGCGAAAGCA